This 908-nucleotide non-coding RNA is filed under the name Watasenia scintillans (sparkling enope). RNAcentral's name for it is "12S ribosomal RNA". The stretch from base 450 to 899 matches the Rfam family "Microsporidia small subunit ribosomal RNA", at positions 752 to 1303 of the family's 1311-position model. Lineage: Eukaryota; Metazoa; Mollusca; Cephalopoda; Oegopsida; Enoploteuthidae. The record is from RNAcentral.
UUAAUUUGGCUUUGGUUAUUAUAUAAAUUAUUACUAAAUAUAUACAUGCUAGGUUUAGUUUAAUCGAAUUGUCUGGAGAUAUGUUAAAAAUGUUUAAAAUAUUUUUAAUACAAGUGUUAUUGUUAGUGGUUAACUAAAAUAAUAAGAGUAGGCUACGCAGUAUUUAUAAUUAUACAAUGAAUGAAAGUUUGAUAUAGUUAUUGUGUUAAAAAGUGGUUAAAUUGGUGCCAGCAUCUGCGGUUAUACCAAUUACUUUAAAUUUAUAUUAAGAUAGUAUAAAAAAAGUAUUGAAUGAAUAAAUAUUUAGAAUUGAUGAGAGACAUAGUUGUAGGUAAAAUUUAAUUAUUUCUAUUGAUUAAAUUUUUCUAGAUAAAUUCUUUGAAAAUAAGGUAUGAAAAACUAGGAUUAGAGACCCUAUUAUUCUUUAUUUUAAAAUUUUUUAGUUACUUAGGUAGUACGAAUAUGGUUAAUAUAUUAAACCUUUUAUGUUUGUUUAAAACUUAAAAGGCUUGGCGGUGUUAUAUAUCCUUCCAGGGGAGCUUGCUUGUUAAUUUGAUAAUCCUCAAUUUAUACUUACUUUUUCUUGAAUGUAAACAGUUUGUGUAUUGCUGUCGUCAGUUUAUUUCGUAAGAAUUUGGAAAAAAACUUGACAACGUAAGGGUUACCAUGUCAAGUCAAAAUGCAGCUAAUGAGAAAGGCUUAAGUGAGCUACAGUUUGUAAUUUCUAUAGCGAAUUAAACCAUGUAACUGGUUUAUAAAGAUGGACUUGGUAGUAAUAAAAAUUAAUUAAAUAGUGAGUUUUUAUGAAUUAGGUUUUAUAACGUGUACAUAUCGCCCGUCGCUCUUGUUGGGAAAUAAGAUAAGUCGUAACAUAGUAGGAGUAGUGGAAGCUGCCCCUGGAAUAAUAU